GGAAGGAUCAUUCGCACGCAUUAUCCUAUCACCACUGUGAAUUCUUGGUGUGAGGCUUUGUGCAAGGAUGGAGAUUGCAUCGAUACCCUUGUGCAAAGACUCAAAGACGGCUGAGGCAGGAUGGGUGCUUGUCACCUCCUUUCUGUUUUGGUCGUCAACCUUUUCUACAUUGUGAUGUUCUUUUUCUUUGAAGUGCUUCGUCACUUCUCUCUUGUUUACAACUUUCAGCGAUCGAUGUCUCGGCUCGAACAACGAUGAAGGGCGCAGCGAACUGUGAUAAGCAUUGUGAAUUGCAGAAUUCCGUGAACCAAUAGAAACUUGAACGUAGACUGUGCUUUCGGGAUAUCCCUGAAAGCAUGCCUGCUUCAGUGUCCAAUUCAUUUCAUGCCGGCAACAUGAUCCACAUUGGUGGUGUUGUUGUUUGGUUGUGUUUGUGUGUUAAAGAGCUUCUGGCCUUUGACACAUUGAAUUCAUGGGGAAACCAUCCGGGGGCACAACAAUCCAUGCAUCCUUGAUGUUGUUUGUUCGUGCUUCUGGUUGGAUCCUUGCCAUCUAGUGUCCAACACUUUU
Molecule: unclassified non-coding RNA, 570 nt
Filed under: Stoeckeria sp. SSSC09
Lineage: Eukaryota; Dinophyceae; Thoracosphaerales; Thoracosphaeraceae
Description: contains ITS1, 5.8S rRNA and ITS2
Rfam family: 5.8S ribosomal RNA (bases 220-374)
Source: RNAcentral